GCUGGGUACGGUGGCACACACCUGUAAUCCCAGCAGCUCGGGGAGGCUGAGACAGGAGGAUUGAGAGUUCAAAGCUAGCCUCAGCAACGGCAAGGCACUAAGUAACUCAGUGAGACCCUGUCUCUA
This 126-nucleotide small RNA is filed under the name Marmota monax (woodchuck). The record is from RNAcentral. Lineage: Eukaryota; Metazoa; Chordata; Mammalia; Rodentia; Sciuridae.